CGGGUGCACUGAUCCAGCCGGGCCUUUCCCUCUGUGGAACCCCAUGGCCUUCACUGGCUGUGGUGGGGAAACAGGACUUUUACUUUGAAAAAAUUAGAGUGCUCCAGGCAGGCCUAUGCUCGAAUACAUUAGCAUGGAAUAAUAGAAUAGGACGUGUGGUUCUAUUUUGUUGGUUUCUAGGACCGCCGUAAUGAUUAAUAGGGACAGUCGGGGGCAUCAGUAUUCAAUUGUCAGAGGUGAAAUUCUUGGAUCUAUUGAAGACUAACUACUGCGAAAGCAUUUGCCAAGGAUGUUUUCAUUGAUAAGGAACGAAAGUUAGGGGAUCGAAGACGAUCAGAUACCGUCGUAGUCUUAACUAUAAACUAUGCCGACUAGGGAUCGGACGAUGUUAUUCUUUGACGCGUUCGGCACCUUUCGAGAAAUCAAAGUGCUUGGGCUCCAGGGGGAGUAUGGUCGCAAGGCUGAAACUUAAAGAAAUUGACGGAAGGGCGCCACCAGGGGUGGAACCUGCGGCUUAAUUUGACUCAACACGGGGAAACUCACCAGGUCCAGACACAGUGAGGAUUGACAGAUUGAGAGCUCUUUCUUGAUUCUGUGGGUGGUGGUGCAUGGCCGUUCUUAGUUGGUGGAGUGAUUUGUCUGCUUAAUUGCGAUAACGAACGAGACCUUAACCUGCUAAAUAGCCCGUACUGCUUUGGCAGUUCGCCGGCUUCUUAGAGGGACUAUCGG
RNAcentral lists this ribosomal RNA (729 nucleotides) under uncultured eukaryote. RNAcentral describes it as "SSU rRNA". It matches the Rfam family "Eukaryotic small subunit ribosomal RNA", at positions 670 to 1426 of the family's 1831-position model. The record is from RNAcentral.